CGAGAUGGAGGACUGCUGGAGGGUGACCAUCACCUCUGACCUGACUUCUGCGUUCCCAGUGCUCCUGCAGCUCUCCCCCAAAGGGGGCUGAUUAAUGAAGACAUAUUGGAAAGUCCGGAACCUGUCAUGGUAUAAACGGUACAGAAUAAGGGGAUGGAGCACACUUUCAGAUCCUUUCUGGAUGGUGCCAAGCUCAGAGGAGCCCUUGACCAACCGCAUCUAGUUUAGUGUGCCUUGAGCAGGACAGGUGAAGAGGAUGCCAUUCAGGGGUCUCUUCCAACCUGAGUUAUUUUGUGAUUCCAUGACUCUUUCCCUGAGAGUGUUCUCUGAAGUCCCGAAAGGUAGAGGAAGAAGAAAAGA
Molecule: long non-coding RNA, 360 nt
Organism: Cygnus olor (mute swan)
Lineage: Eukaryota; Metazoa; Chordata; Aves; Anseriformes; Anatidae
Exons: 3
Source: RefSeq, a predicted model, not a curated record